UACGGGGGGGGCAAGCGUUGUUCGGAAUUACUGGGCGUAAAGGGUUCGUAGGUGGCCAACUAAGUCAGACGUGAAAUCCCUCAGCUUAACUGGGGAACUGCGUCUGAGACUGGAUGGCUUGAGUGCAGGAGAGGAACGCGGAAUUCCAGGUGUAGCGGUGAAAUGCGUAGAUAUCUGGAGGAACACCGGUGGCGAAGGCGGCGUUCUGGACUGCUACUGACACUGAGGAGCGAAAGCCAGGGGAGCAAACGGG
Molecule: ribosomal RNA, 253 nt
Filed under: uncultured bacterium
Lineage: Bacteria
Description: partial 16S ribosomal RNA
Rfam family: Bacterial small subunit ribosomal RNA
Source: RNAcentral